GGGCGCUUGGCUCAGUGGCUAGAGCACUUGCUUCACACGCAAGGGGUCGGUGGUUCGAGUCCACCAGCGCCCACCA
Molecule: transfer RNA, 76 nt
Filed under: Planctomycetes bacterium GWA2_50_13
Lineage: Bacteria; Pseudomonadati; Planctomycetota
Also listed under: 7 other names
Description: tRNA-Val
Rfam family: tRNA
About the family: Transfer RNA (tRNA) molecules are approximately 80 nucleotides in length. Their secondary structure includes four short double-helical elements and three loops (D, anti-codon, and T loops).
Source: RNAcentral